This 250-nucleotide ribosomal RNA is filed under the name uncultured bacterium. RNAcentral describes it as "partial 16S ribosomal RNA". It matches the Rfam family "Bacterial small subunit ribosomal RNA", at positions 524 to 773 of the family's 1533-position model. The record is from RNAcentral.
UACGAAGGGAGCUAGCGUUACUCGGAAUCAUUGGGCGUAAAGCGUGCGUAGGCGGCUUUAUAAGUCGGAAGUGAAAGCCUGGGGCUCAACCCCAGAAUUGCUUUCGAUACUGUAGAGCUAGAAUACCAGAGGGGAUGGCGGAAUUCCUAGUGUAGAGGUGAAAUUCGUAGAUAUUAGGAGGAACACCGGUGGCGAAGGCGGCCAUCUGGCUGGUUAUUGACGCUGUUGCACGAAAGCGUGGGGAGCAAAC